CCCUUAGAUGUUCUGGGCCGCACGCGCGCUACACUGAUGCAUUCAACGAGCCUAUCCUUGACCGACAGGUCCGGGUAAUCUUUGAAUCUGCAUCGUGACUGGGAUAGAUUAUUGCAAUUAUUAAUCUUCAACGAGGAAUGCCUAGUAGGCGCAAGUCAUCAGCUUGCGUCGAUUACGUCCCUGCCCUUUGUACACACCGCCCGUCGCUCCUACCGAUUGGGUGUGCUGGUGAAAUGUUCGGAUCGGCCGUUUGUCGCGGUUUCCGCGUCAUGUGGCUGAGAAGUUCAUUAAACCCUCCCACCUAGAGGAAGGAGAAGUCGUAACA
Molecule: ribosomal RNA, 325 nt
Filed under: uncultured eukaryote
Lineage: Eukaryota
Description: partial 18S ribosomal RNA
Rfam family: Eukaryotic small subunit ribosomal RNA
Source: RNAcentral